RNAcentral lists this long non-coding RNA (1018 nucleotides) under Mytilus galloprovincialis (Mediterranean mussel). Lineage: Eukaryota; Metazoa; Mollusca; Bivalvia; Mytilida; Mytilidae. The record is from RNAcentral.
CAGGGCUACACUGUCAACAUUUACAUAAAGUUUCAUUAGGUUGGCUCUUAUAAUAAAAGAUUUAGAAUUUAGAUUUUUUUUUACAUUUUUGCAGUUUCCAUGGUAACGGUGGCCAUUUUUUACCAUUCCAAUGUCUCUUGCACAACUUCACAUGGAGGUUCAUAUUAUGGUAUAGUUCCAUCAACAUUGGUCUGACCAAUUCCGAGAAAUAGCGUGGACAAAAUGUGUGGAAGAAUAAAAAUAAGAAAAAAAAGAAACGAACAAUAACAAUAUGUCACCCCAACUCCGUUGAGGGUGCCAUAAUAACUAGAUUUGUAAUUGCUAGCAAUAACGGAUGGCACCCUCGUCCCCCCAUUGCCAGGCGAGCGGCAGCCAUUUUGAAAAUUCAAAAGUCAAAGAGUGCAUCUAGUCAUGCAAGUUAUCAUUUUUGUAAAAAUUCAUUAAAUUUGGAGCAAUUUGAAAUUUUGGACAAUUUUGUUGUUUCCAUGGUUACGGCGGCCAUUUUGGAAAUUCCAACUUCAAAAUGAAACUCUGCACAUGUCAGUUACUAUUCCUUUUAAGUUUCAUGCACUUUGCAGCACUUUAUUUUUUUUUGGAAAUUUUGAACAUUUGUGCUGCAACCAUGGUUACAGUAGAUAAUUCCAAAAUUCUAAAAGCAGACAUCUCAUUGCCACAUGUCAUGUUAUAUAUCAAUACAGUUUCAUUUACUUUGGUGCAAUACUCUUUGAGAAAAUGCUGAUUUUAUGCAUUUUUCCAUAGGGUCAAUGUUAUACUUGUCCCCAGUUUCCAUGACAACGGCGGCCAUUUUGGAGUUUCCAAAUAUCGUCUUGGCAUCUUGGCAUACUGGGUAACACUUUUAUAAAGUUUCAUCCAGUUGGGUCUUAUAAUGACAGAGUUAGAAUUUUUGAUAUUUUAGCUGUUUCCAUGGUAACGGUAGCCAUUUUGAAAAUUCCAAGAUCAAAAUGCAGCUCAAGCCAUGCCUGUUAAUAUUUAAGUGAAGUUUCGUGCAGUUUGGAAC